This 24-nucleotide non-coding RNA is filed under the name Mus musculus (house mouse). Lineage: Eukaryota; Metazoa; Chordata; Mammalia; Rodentia; Muridae. The record is from RNAcentral.
UUGGAAAGAGUGACUUUGUGGUCC